AACGAACGCUGGCGGCAGGCCUAACACAUGCAAGUCGAGCGCCCCAGCAAUGGGGAGGCGGCAGACGGGUGAGUAACGCGUGGGUAUCUACCUAGUGGUGCGGAAUAGCCCAGGGAAACUUGGAGUAAUACCGCAUAAGCCCGAAAGGGGAAAGAUUUAUCGCCCAAGGAUGAGCCCGCGUCGGAUUAGCUAGUUGGUGAGGUAAAGGCUCACCAAGGCGACGAUCCGUAGCUGGUCUGAGAGGAUGAUCAGCCACACUGGGACUGAGACACGGCCCAGACUCCUACGGGAGGCAGCAGUGGGGAAUAUUGGACAAUGGGCGAAAGCCUGAUCCAGCAAUGCCGCGUGAGUGAUGAAGGCCUUAGGGUUGUAAAGCUCUUUUACCCGGGAUGAUAAUGACAGUACCGGGAGAAUAAGCCCCGGCUAACUCCGUGCCAGCAGCCGCGGUAAU
Molecule: ribosomal RNA, 451 nt
Filed under: uncultured bacterium
Lineage: Bacteria
Description: bacterial SSU rRNA
Rfam family: Bacterial small subunit ribosomal RNA
Source: RNAcentral